GGUUCCAUAGUGUAGCGGUUAGCACGUCUGCUUUAUAUACAGAAGGUCCUGGUUACGGGCCCUAGUGGAGCCA
Molecule: transfer RNA, 73 nt
Filed under: Pteropus alecto (black flying fox)
Lineage: Eukaryota; Metazoa; Chordata; Mammalia; Chiroptera; Pteropodidae
Rfam family: tRNA
About the family: Transfer RNA (tRNA) molecules are approximately 80 nucleotides in length. Their secondary structure includes four short double-helical elements and three loops (D, anti-codon, and T loops).
Source: Rfam by way of RNAcentral